CAUUAAUAGUAAUACAGAUAACGGGUUUCAAAGAAUUCUCUACAGAAGAAGGAUUGGAUUUUUCCAGGGUGCCGAUACUGAAAAGAAACCCGACUGCACUCUCUUCUUAUUUCCCACUCUUCUAUUUCUAAGUCCCAGACAGCUUUUGCUUGGUUGAACUCAGGAAGGUCUCUGUGCCCAGCAAAGUUGGAAGGCUGCGCCUGCACCAAGAAGCCUCUAGAUUGCUGAAAAGAGCCUCAUCAAAGGAUAAAACAUAUCCGUAUCACUGGCUGGGUGUAAUGCAAGGAAGGGACAAAGAUGAAAUGGAAACAUGCUCCUUUUUUGGUCAUAAUAUCACUCCUCAGCUUGUCCAAAAGCCACCUGUUCCUGGCACAGCUUAUUCCAGGUAAGUGCCACGCAUUUGUUUCAUCAAACCUCAAUCCGUAUUCCUUUUUUGUUUUAAUUUUUUUUUUUUUACUUUGUGUAUUGCAAAUCAGAUUUGUUCAUUUUCUUGGAAACUUGUAAGUCUGUGUGAAUGGUUUCUUAAGUUUGUGUGCUGAUAAAUUUCAGGGAUCAAAUAUGAUUCUUGAAUACAGAGCACCUUAUCAAUUCCCUAGAGAAGCUGAGGAAAUUCAGAAAAAUUCACUGUUACUGAAAUGUGUAAGAAGUUAUUAACUGAAUUUAAGACGGGUGGAAGAACAAUUAUAGUAAGGAAGGAAUGUGUAACACAAAAAGGCUAUCAAAGUCAUAAUGCAUGUUAGUACCAUGGAAAAGGAACAUCACAGACAGUAAAAAUGUUUGAAACUGAAAUUCCUUUGGGUGGUGACAUUCGAGUUCAUCAGCUGAACAAUGUCAGAAUAAAAAUGCAAACUGCUACCCUGUUGCUACCGUAGUUACAUAGUUACUGCUGGUUCAAUGAUAUUAGAAACCUGGUUCCUUGGAGUCAUAAUUUCAUUAAUAGUACUGUACAAAGAUUUACUUAAAGUGUUUUUAAAAUAGGAAAUUGACUAACGCCCAUGCUAUGGUAGAAGAAAAUAGAAAAAUAUAAUAAUAUACAUAUUAAAAUAUAAUUUCAACUUUCUUAGAGAAAACUAUGGGGAAAAUGGUAGUUAACUUGGGCAUAUUUAAUAUAUCAUCAUAAUUUAACCAAGUUGCUCAUAAAAGAAUGGCAUUUGGUGUUUUGUUAAACCAAAACAUGGAACUUGAUUUUUUUUGUUUAUUUUAGUCAUAUUUAUUUUAAUAACCAGCAACUGUAUGUAACUUAUCCUGUGUAUCCACAUACGAGUCAGGAUUUUCCAGUAAUUCUGGGGCUUGAUUUUUUUUUCUCCUGCUGGGCUAAGAUUGAUAUUUAAUUAGAAGAUAAGGGAGUUGUGAACAAAAAAUGAUUUUUAUCUAUUAAAAUCAUUUCCAUAUAGUGGAAGUAAGCAGAAAAUUUAAAAUCUAUUGUAGCAAAGUCCAUCUAGCUCCUUUGUUUUUUGAAAUUACUCCUUUGAAAUUACUAUAAGUUUUAAAUUUUAACCUGUCCCUACGUUCCCCUUCUCUUGCCACUACACUGGUGAGUGUUGAUUAAAAUUAAUGAAUGAACUCAGUAUCAAAAAAUCACAAUACGAAAAAAUGCUAUGCAUUUUUUAAGUAUAUGAAAAAUGCGGAGUUCCCGUUGUGGUUCAGUGGUUAAUGAAUCUGACUAGGAACCAUGAGGUUGCAGGUUCAAUCCCUGGCCUUGCUCAGUGGGUUAAGGAUCCCGCGAGUUGCCCUGAGCUGUGGUGUAGGUUGCAGACAUGGCUCGGAUCCCACGUUGCUGUGGCCCUGGCGUAGGCCUGCGGCUGCAGUUCUUACUAAACCCCUAGCCUGGGAACCUCCAUAUGCCAUGAGUGUGGCCCUAGAACCCCGCCCCCCAAAAAAAGAAAAAUGCAAGCCUUUCAAAUCAUCAGGAUUAAAGAGGUUAUAUGAAAGUGUUCUGUAGACUAUGAUUAUAGAUUUAGAUGUGGGUAUAACUCAGAUGUAAUUGUCCUUAAACUGUCUUGCCAGCUAAUAACUGCUUCAGUCAACAAAUUUAGUCCAUGAUCUAAUUAUUGAGCAGGUAAUCAAAUCUCAAAAGGUUCAGUCAUGGUUUGAAUCAUACUUACCUCUCUAGAUAUAUGGAAGAAGGAAUGCAUGCAUAAAGUAUGUGGAAGGGGGAGUAAGGUUCAUCUAUGGCAUAUAAGGUUAUUUUUUCAUUCAAGAAGAUACUGCAUGAUUACAUAGAAGACAUAUCAACUGGACCAUCUGGUUUCAAAAUUUGUCAAAACUCUGCAAUUGCUGUUUACAUGCAAGUACUUUAAGAUGAAGGAGAGCUUAAAAUUCAUGCAUUGAUUUUUCCAUACAAUAUGUAGAUUGGAUACAAAGGUGAUCAAUUGAUUGGCAAAUAGCCAAAGCAUGUCAUACAGAUUAGUAACUCAGGGCCCUCUUUGAGGCAAUACCUUACAAAGAAGUAAGGGUACCCCAAAAUGGAAUUUAUAAAGCUUUGUGCCUUUCCUGUUCAGGACCUCAGCAUUCAAGAAUUAUUUCAAAGCAAUUUACCUGUCACAAGAAAGAUGAUGUUGCAUUUUCAAAAGGAACGCUUACAGAGUAGAAGUCAUUUUCAUAACUGCCUCAUUCACAAGCACUGAUUUCAGGUUAAGGAGAUUAGAAAACCUCCUGAAAGGGAUCAUCAGCCUAGAACCUCUCCUCUUUCACACUGACCUCAGGAUGAAGUGAGAUCCUGAUUCUGCUGUUGUUGCUCCAUCUUUAUUAUGUUCAGUAGAGGCCCUUGACCUGCACUGAGUGUAGCCUAGCUCAGAGGGAGCAAGGAUAGGGAGAUCUUAUAUUAGUGACUUUUUCCAAAACACUGUUUCUCAUUCAGCUGAUUUACCUCCUCUCUUUCUCUGAGGAAAAAAAUACCCUUCUUUAUCAGAAAUUUAUUUCAAAAGUCAGAUAAGUUAAAAAAAAAAAGUACAAUGUUUUCUAAAAUCUAAGGAGAAGAAUAUGGUCUAUAGAACGUAACUAGGUGAGUUAUUAGUAGAAUGCCUACCAGAACAAGAUACCUCAGGCUAACAAGUAAAGCGCAAUGAAAAUAACUAUUGUAAUGUAGAUUAUUUUAUUACUGCAAUAAUAAAGAAGAUUUUCAAACUGUGAGGUGGUUACUUGGUAUAAUUAAAUGCUAAACCAAUGCUUGAAUUGACAGAUCACGCAGCUUAAUUUUUUUUCUAUUUUGUCCCCCUGUAUAAUACAUUUUCAAAAUGCUGUUAUGUUAUACAAUUACUGUAUAUGAAGUGGUUGGUAUAUCAGAUGACUAGAAAUUAGAUGUACAUUUUAAAUAAAGAAAUAACUCUUGAUGCUGAAAAGGAAAUCCAUUUUCAGAGAGAAGGAAUCAUUAAGAAGUGGAUUUUAGGAAUGAUUGAGCCUCUCCAACUGUUUGAGUUGUGGCCUUCAUCCCACAGAAAGCCCAUUAAAGGCUCUGUAUUCAAACCACUGUUACGUGCUCCCUUUGUCAAUUUUCCUCAUCUCUUAUUCACAUAUAAAAUACUCUCAAACCAACAGCAGUUAUCUCUUGAGACAUGCUCUAUCUGGGCGAGGCUACAUCUUUCUUUAACCUCUCCUACAAAGGAAUCUUACAGCCCUGGUCACAUUUUAAAUAUCCAUCUCUGAUUGCAACAGAUGUCAGGAAGACAAUAAAAGACACAUGUUAAACGAUAUGUUUUUAAAGUAUUCGCUUCGCAUAUGGGCGAUUGAGUUGAAAAUUUGAAGGACGUCGAUGGCAAAAAAAAAAAAAAUGUUGAAUUCUAGGGGUAUAGUGUAAGAUUUUAAAUGGAAACAUGUGGGGAUGGGAAAACACAUCCCCUUUCUAUCUAAAUAAAUCGAACAGCCCACUUUAAAGUUAAACGUGAUUUAUUUUUCCCUCUCUCUUCUCUAAAUGUGCAGCAGCAUUGUCCUUCAUUAGAGAUGCAGGUGCUGACAGGGUUAUUUCCUUUGCCCUGCCUCAUGUCAACAAGCCUUGAGAGUGAAAUUGUCUGAAAUGAUUUACUCCUUACCCUCCCCACCCCGUCCAUCCACCACCACUUCAGUACCUUGCUGCUUUCUCCAAAGAGAGGUAAUUGCAAGCAGCUAAGUGUUAUCUGGGUUGAAUCAUCCACAGAUAAACUAUAAAGUUUAAUAAAAGAAUUCUUUACAUAAGAUCUAGAAAUGAUAGGAAGUAUCUACAUACAAUCCCAUAUAUUCCAAAUUUUUGUGAUUUGUUUUAUUUUUACAUGCCUAACAUAUUUUGAAUAGAUUUGAGGAAUUCUUUCAGAUUUUUAAAAUUGCUAUAGAAU
This 4307-nucleotide long non-coding RNA is filed under the name Sus scrofa (pig). RNAcentral's name for it is "lncRNA (ENSSSCG00050069289.1)". The record is from RNAcentral. Lineage: Eukaryota; Metazoa; Chordata; Mammalia; Artiodactyla; Suidae.